AAGAGUAAGCGUGCGGUUGCGAAAUUUAUCUCAAAAUUCGUUUUGAGUUCAAGUUUUGAGGAAAGUCCGGGCUUCCAUGAAGAUCAGACUGCUGGAUAAUGCCCAGUGCGAGUGAUCGUGAGGACAGUGCCACAGAAAGAUACCGCCUAUUAGAAAUUCGCUUCGCGAAUUUCUAAUAGGUAAGGGUGCAAAGGUGUGUUAAGAGCGCACCAGCAGAGUCGUGAGGCUCUGGCUCGGUAAACCCCAGUUGGAAGCAAGGCGAGAGGAUUUAGGAGUAUCGAUCUUCAAAUUGCUCUUAAUUCCGUUGCUUAAGGUGAUUGUCUGGUGAAAGCUGAGCGAUCGCAUUUUAAGUGUGUGCCGCAUGAGGUAUUUGGCAACAUGUAUCCCAGAUAGAUAACCGCUAAGGUAGUUGAAUAGACUCCUGAAACAGAACCCGGCUUAUGUCUUGCUCUUUCUU
RNAcentral lists this RNase P RNA (457 nucleotides) under Pseudanabaena sp. RNAcentral describes it as "RNase P RNA component class A". It matches the Rfam family "Bacterial RNase P class A". From Rfam's summary of the family: Ribonuclease P (RNase P) is a ubiquitous endoribonuclease, found in archaea, bacteria and eukarya as well as chloroplasts and mitochondria. Its best characterised activity is the generation of mature 5'-ends of tRNAs by cleaving the 5'-leader elements of precursor-tRNAs. The record is from RNAcentral. Lineage: Bacteria; Bacillati; Cyanobacteriota; Cyanophyceae; Pseudanabaenales; Pseudanabaenaceae.